RNAcentral lists this ribosomal RNA (638 nucleotides) under Truncatella angustata. RNAcentral's name for it is "eukaryotic LSU rRNA". The stretch from base 196 to 349 matches the Rfam family "5.8S ribosomal RNA". The record is from RNAcentral. Lineage: Eukaryota; Fungi; Ascomycota; Sordariomycetes; Amphisphaeriales; Sporocadaceae.
CAUUCGGAAGUUCUACUCCCAACCCAUGUGAACUUACCACUGUUGCCUCGGCAGAUGUUGCUGGGCGAACCUACCCUGUAGCGAGCUACUCUGUAGCGACCUACCCGGGAACGGCUUACCCUGUAGCGCCUGCCGGUGGACUACUAAACUCUUGUUAUUUUUAAGUAAUCUGAGCGUCUUAUUUUAAUAAGUCAAAACUUUCAACAACGGAUCUCUUGGUUCUGGCAUCGAUGAAGAACGCAGCGAAAUGCGAUAAGUAAUGUGAAUUGCAGAAUUCAGUGAAUCAUCGAAUCUUUGAACGCACAUUGCGCCCAUUAGUAUUCUAGUGGGCAUGCCUGUUCGAGCGUCAUUUCAACCCUUAAGCCUAGCUUAGUAUUGGGAACUGGCUUUACUGCCAUUCCUCAAAUUCAACGGCGGAUUUAUAGCAAUCUCUGAACGUAGUAAUUUUUUUCUCGUUUUUGAAAUACUGUAAACCUCAGCCGCUAAACCCCCCAAUUUUUAAUGGUUGACCUCGGAUCAGGUAGGAAUACCCGCUGAACUUAAGCAUAUCAUAAGGCGGGGAGGGAACUUUCUUUACAGAGUUAUCUAACUCCCAAACCGUGUGAACUACACUGUGUGCUUCCCGAAAUUUGGCUGGG